CGGGAUCAAUGCCAUCGUCGAUUCGAGCAUCAGGGGCCUCACAGCUGAACAGUUCAGAGAUAUGAGAAACCAGCAGCUAAUGCAACAUGGAGACGAUCGAAUGGAUGAUACUGAGCAAGCUCUCGCACGAUCUAAGGAGGUUAUUUUGGUAGAACUCAAUUGAAGCUGAAGACUGGGAGCUACCAACUAACGGUGAAUAAAUGAGCAAGAUGGAAGCUUUGUUUCUUUAGAACCCUAAACACUCUUGAGCAGCACCUGCGGGAGAGAGAUUG
Lolium rigidum is the source of this 272-nucleotide long non-coding RNA. RefSeq lists it as uncharacterized. NCBI's taxonomy places the organism in Eukaryota, Viridiplantae, Streptophyta, Magnoliopsida, Poales, Poaceae. The record is from RefSeq and is a predicted model, not a curated record. The transcript has 3 exons.